This 515-nucleotide ribosomal RNA is filed under the name uncultured bacterium. RNAcentral's name for it is "partial 16S ribosomal RNA". It matches the Rfam family "Bacterial small subunit ribosomal RNA", at positions 28 to 523 of the family's 1533-position model. The record is from RNAcentral.
GAUGAACGCUGGCGGCGUGCCUAAUACAUGCAAGUCGAGCGAAUGGAUUAAGAGCUUGCUCUUAUGAAGUUAGCGGCGGACGGGUGAGUAACACGUGGGUAACCUGCCCAUAAGACUGGGAUAACUCCGGGAAACCGGGGCUAAUACCGGAUAACAUUUUGAACCGCAUGGUCCGAAAUUGAAAGGCGGCUUCGGCUGUCACUUAUGGAUGGACCCGCGUCGCAUUGGCUAGUUGGUGAGGUAACGGCGCACCAAGGCAACGAUGCGUAGCCGACCUGAGAGGGUGAUCGGCCACACUGGGACUGAGACACGGCCCAGACUCCUACGGGAGGCAGCAGUAGGGAAUCUUCCGCAAUGGACGAAAGUCUGACGGAGCAACGCCGCGUGAGUGAUGAAGGCUUUCGGGUCAUAAAACUCUGUUGUUAGGGAAGAACAAGUGCUAGUUGAAUAAGCUGGCACCUUGACGGUACCUAACCAGAAAGCCACGGCUAACUACGUGCCAGCAGCCGCAGUAA